UCUCCCUCGUCUCUUCCCAUCCCCCUCCUCUUCCCUAUGCCGCCGCCACCACUUCCCCUACCCUCUCGGACGCCUCGUCUCUUCCACCUCUGCCUCCAUCACCUCCUCCCCUGCCUCCGCACCCGACCACGCGCUAUGGACGAGGACGAGGAGGCAACAGCUCGGGAGGCAGGCAAGAGGAAAACGGGAGGGAUCCCCUCCCGAGCCCCGCGCCUCCCCUCUUUCCCACUGCGCCGCCAGCCCCUUUCCCUCCCUUCGCCGCUGCUACAGCUCCUCCCUGAACCCACGGCGCGCCUUCUUCUCCGACCGUUGUUGCCCGCACUGCUACUGCCACGGCCUGCUACUGCUCCCCCUCCUCCAGCUCCUCGCCCCAGCGGCGCUUCCUCCCCUCCUCUCAGGCAAGGCGUCUUGGGGUGUGGAGGCGGUGGGGCAGCAGCCAGUCAUUGCCCUGCAGCGGCAGCAGCAGGUCGGCUUCCCCGUUGUGGCGGCGACGCGUCUAGAGGAACCGGUUGCCCUUCUCCUGGAUGAGCGUCGGAGCCGAACAGCCGGAACUGACCAUUGAGGAGCUGGGGCAGCCGUGCCACAUAGGAGGUCGAGGUGGACCAGGAGAAGCUGCACGAGGCUCCAUCGCCUCCUUCUCAAAUUUGGUUUCUCUAUGCCUACAUGGUGUUUGAUGAAAAUCCAAGAAGGACGGGGAGGAUUGAUCUAUGCGGAUAAGAGAAGAAAACUAAAACAUGUUCACUAGAGUGGCCUGGGGUGGCCCGGGAGCUACGAGGAUGGGUUGAUGAGACUGGAUUGGCAGCCGACAGCGAGAGAGGAAGGGUGGUUGUUCCUGCGAUGAGGUGGUGAUGAUUGCCAUAGUGGAAUUUUGUAGGUACGACAGCGACGAGCUUUGAGGGCCCCCGGUUUGGUGGCAGCAUGAGCCUCGUGGAGUGUUUUUGUUUCCCCACUUAGACUACUGUUUUGAUUCUCAAGUGUGGAGAUGGAUGUGACUUACCAUGGAGGAAGUGGGUACAAUAUCCAUUUGAAAGAUGCAGCAGGGCCAAAAUAAGUUUCCGGUGCAAUUGGAGCUGCAAGCCAGAUUGGUUUAUACAGCAAUGGAGUGAUUUGUACCCUGCAAAGUUCCCCUUUUGGUUCACUGACACGAUGCAAAAACAGUCCGAGACGGAGCUCAGGCCGAGGAUUCUCCCUCGCUCGAGGAUUCCAGUAACUAUGAGUUCUAGGCGAAGAUGUACGUUUCCUACAGACAUUUUCAGUUUGACGAGAGCUUUGCCAUUCAUCUUGAAAAAGUAUGUUCCGUUCUGUCUAGGAUAGAGAACCAUGAUUAUCACCACUGUUGGAGGAAAAAGCUAGAGCAAUUGUGUUUCUACUUUCAUGCAUUGUGGUUUUCUAUUCUUGGAAGGAUAGAGUUUACAUAUUUCGUAUGCCUAAAUAGUGAAGGUACUUUAUUUUCAUUUAACUGUUUCUAUGCUAUUCUCUCAUUGUCUGUGUUGUCUAAGAAAUUCUUCGAUUUGGAAAGUUGCCAUCUCUCAUUUUUUUUGUUUUACCGCUUUCUUGUGCUACAAUUUGUUAGGCAAAUUUAGCUUUCAAUUCAACAAUUUUCUUGUUUUCUAAAGCAUGGACUACUGUUGAAGUUCAGUAUAUCAAGUAAUAAUAGUGUGUUAAAAUGAAUAAUACACAUUGAGCUAUAUAUAUUUGCUGCAAUUUGGGGCUGCUGUUGUAAUGUGGUAUAUAUCCUCCCUUGUAUUACGUAAGGUUGAAGUGACUGUUUAAUAUUCUUCCGCUCAGCAGCACCAAGUACGUGUUUGCAGCCUUUCUGUGCUACAUGUGAGUUCAGUUUACUGCUAACUGCAGUUGUUUAUAGAUUAGUGUAUUUUGCUGUAGGUUAAAUGGAGUUAGUAAGACCUUAUUUGAUACUGAUCAUAAGAUACUAACGGGCUCCAUGUAAUCCCAAGUGCAUUGCACAACAAAUUGUCAUUUUGCAAGAUCUUCUAGAGAUACUUCAUUUUUGCUAAUGAAAAUGACUACUGACAAAGUUUUAAUAUGAUAAUUUUGCUGAUUUGAUACAUUAUCUUUCAAGUUAAUUCAGAGAUUUGAUGAUACGGUUUAGAGUACCAGCGGUGUUAUGUUCCACAGUCCACACUCUUUCCUUGAAGCAAUUUUAGAAAUAUUUGAAACUAUGAGCGACCAAUUUUCAAUUAUAUGGAAUGGAUUCCUAAAGAAAUCUAAUUAUUGAUGUUUUUUUAUGGUGGUACUAUGUUGCUGGUUUGAUUAAUGAUAAAUGCUUGAUGCAAUGAUCGAAAUGUUUUUGUUUCUGUUGUGUGUCCCCUCACGUGAUGAAAUAUUUAUUGUGGGGCGACUUAAUUGAUUAUUGUUCUCUUUAUCCCUUGAAAAGUGCUAUGUAACAAUACAAAUAUGCUUUCGUUCGCAGAGCUAUAUGUCCUAUGCUCCUCUUGAUGACAUAUAUGAGGACUCACAACCUGAGCCUGGAAUAUCACUCCAAUUUUAAGUUGCCUGUUUUGCAUAAAGGUUGGAUAUAUGGUGACAUGGUAAAGCUGAUUUGGGAAAGCGGGUGUAGAGUGUGCAUAAGUUAAGAAAACAAUUUAUAAUCUGUGAUGUGAUCAUUGCAUUUUAAUUUAGUAUAUGUGAUCACCUCAAGUAGGGAAGUACUGAAUGCACCUCUCUGUCAAGUGCAUGUAUCAGGGUACCAUUUUUUACUCAACCGAUUUAACACAGG
This is a long non-coding RNA of Triticum dicoccoides, 2737 nucleotides long. RefSeq lists it as uncharacterized. The transcript is spliced from 8 exons. The record is from RefSeq and is a predicted model, not a curated record. NCBI's taxonomy places the organism in Eukaryota, Viridiplantae, Streptophyta, Magnoliopsida, Poales, Poaceae.